RNAcentral lists this ribosomal RNA (301 nucleotides) under uncultured bacterium. RNAcentral's name for it is "partial 16S ribosomal RNA". It matches the Rfam family "Bacterial small subunit ribosomal RNA", at positions 509 to 807 of the family's 1533-position model. The record is from RNAcentral.
CAGUCGCCGCGGUAACACGGAGGGGGCUAGCGUUGUUCGGAAUUACUGGGCAUAAAGCGCACGUAGGCGGCUUGGUAAGUUAGAGGUGAAAGCCCGGAGCUCAACUCCGGAAUUGCCUUUAAGACUGCCGAGCUAGUAGGUGAGAGAGGUAAGUGGAAUUCCGAGUGUAGAGGUGAAAUUCGUAGAUAUCGGAAGGAACACCUGUGGCGAAAGCGGCUCACUGGACCACAACUGACGCUGAUGCACGAAAGCUAGGGGAGCAAACAGGAUUAGAUACCCCAGUAGUCCCUGUCUCUUAUAC